Molecule: unclassified non-coding RNA, 356 nt
Filed under: fungal sp.
Lineage: Eukaryota; Fungi
Description: partial internal transcribed spacer region
Source: RNAcentral
AAGUCGACCUUUUCUAAGAAAGUGCGAGCGCACUGAAGGUUCGCGGGGGGUUUAACGUUGGAUACGUGUUAGCAAUCCCUGGUAAAUCAUUGCCGAACAGUUUUGAUUCAGGGACUUCUGCGUAGACUGUGCUUGAGCGUGAGGCAAGUGGCCUGGCAUUCCUCUGCUUGUUGGUGUCUGAAAGUGUCACCAGCUCUGUACGAAUGGCGCAGUCACGAUCGCUAGAGGCCGACACGGCCGGCGACCGGGUCACUGGGCGCGAGCCCCCCUCGUCACCUUUGCAUGAAAACGGGCCUGCGCUUAAUUGUGCGGCCACCAAACUCGAACAACUGUUAACAAUGGAUAUCUUGGUUCUC